RNAcentral lists this ribosomal RNA (1822 nucleotides) under Francisella tularensis. RNAcentral's name for it is "partial 23S ribosomal RNA". It matches the Rfam family "Bacterial large subunit ribosomal RNA", at positions 775 to 2591 of the family's 2925-position model. The record is from RNAcentral. Lineage: Bacteria; Pseudomonadati; Pseudomonadota; Gammaproteobacteria; Thiotrichales; Francisellaceae.
CGAACCCAAUACUGUUGCAAAAGUAUGGGAUGAGCUGUGGAUCGGAGUGAAAGGCUAAUCAAGCACGGAGAUAGCUGGUUCUCCCCGAAAACUAUUUAGGUAGUGCCUCGUGUAUAACUCAUUGGGGUAAAGCACUGUUUCGACAAUGGGGGUUUUACGACCUUACUGACUCGAUGCAAACUCAGAAUACGAUGAAGUUCGAUCACGGGAGACACACUGCGGGUGCUAAGGUCCGCAGUGGAAAGGGAAACAGCCCAGACCGCCAACUAAGGUCCCAAAGUCAUAGCUAAGUGGGAAACGAAGUGGGAAGGCCCAGACAGCCAGGAGGUUGGCUUAGAAGCAGCCACCCUUUAAAGAAAGCGUAAUAGCUCACUGGUCGAGUCGGCCUGCACGUAAGAUUUAACGGGGCUAAGCUAUGCACUGAAGUUGCGGAAUAUAUUUAGUAUAUUGGUAGGGGAGCGUUCUGUAAGCCGAUGAAGGUGAAUUGAGAAGUUUGCUGGAGGUAUCAGAAGUGCGAAUGCUGACAUGAGUAACGUAAAAUAAGUGAGAUUCUUAUUGGCCGAAAACCCAAGGGUUCCUACGCAAUGUUAAUCAACGUAGGGUAAGCCGGCCCCUAAGGCGUAGCUGAAGAGUGAAGUCGAUGGGAAACAGGUUAAUAUUCCUGUGCUGCUUAUAUGAACGAAGGAGGGACGGAGAAGGUUAGGUAGGCCUGGCGAAUGGUUGUCCAGGUGAAAGUAUGUAGGUAGGAAUGCUAGGCAAAUCCGGUGUUCUGUUGAUCUGAGAUACGAGACGAAGUUAAACUUGUUUGACGAAGCUAUUGAUACCAUGCUUCCAGGAAAAGCUUCUAAGUAUAUUGUAUAAGUGACCGUACUGUAAACCGACACUGGUGGGUAGGUAGAGAAUACUAAGGCUAUGAGAUAACUCUGGUGAAGGAACUAGGCAAAAUGACACCGUAACUUUGGAAGAAGGUGUGCCCUUGAUGGUGAUGAGACUUGCUCUUUGAGCUGUUGGGGGUUGCAGAUACCAGGUGGCUGCGACUGUUUAUCAAAAACACAGCACUCUGCGAAAUCGUAAGAUGAAGUAUAGGGUGUGACGCCUGCCCGGUGCUGGAAGGUUAAUUGAAGGGGUUAGCGCAAGCGAAGCUCUGGAUCGAAGCCCCAGUAAACGGCGGCCGUAACUAUAACGGUCCUAAGGUAGCGAAAUUCCUUGUCGGGUAAGUUCCGACCUGCACGAAUGGCGUAACGAUGGCCACACUGUCUCCACCAGAGACUCAGUGAAAUUGAAAUCGCUGUGAAGAUGCAGUGUACCCGCGGUUAGACGGAAAGACCCCGUGAACCUUUACUAUAGCUUUGCACUGGACUUUGAAUAUUUAUGUGUAGGAUAGGUGGGAGACCAUGAAGCAGCUACGCCAGUAGUUGUGGAGUCGUCCUUGAAAUACCACCCUUGAAUAUUUGAAGUUCUAACUCAGGAGAGAUUCGAGGACAGUGUAUGGUGGGUAGUUUGACUGGGGCGGUCUCCUCCUAAAGAGUAACGGAGGAGUACGAAGGUGCACUCGGUACGGUCGGAAAUCGUGCCAAGAGUAUAAAGGCAAAAGUGCGCUUGACUGCGAGAGUGACGGCUCGAGCAGGUACGAAAGUAGGUCUUAGUGAUCCGGUGGUCCCGAAUGGAAGGGUCAUCGCUCAACGGAUAAAAGGUACUCCGGGGAUAACAGGCUAAUUCCUCCCAAGAGUUCAUAUCGACGGAGGAGUUUGGCACCUCGAUGUCGGCUCAUCACAUCCUGGGGCUGAAGUAGGUCCCAAGGGUAUGGCUGUUCGCCAUUUAA